GUGCAAAUGCUCUAAAAUGCUCGGAAAAAAACGCGGCGAAAUGCAUAGUUGUUGGACGCGGCCAACAGUGAGAGCACCGGGAAUAGGACAAGAAAAGUGGGAAAGAAUGACGUGUGUUUUGAUUCAAUCUUAAUCGCGUAAAAGG
Non-coding RNA from Caenorhabditis elegans, 145 nucleotides. The record is from Ensembl. NCBI's taxonomy places the organism in Eukaryota, Metazoa, Nematoda, Chromadorea, Rhabditida, Rhabditidae.